RNAcentral lists this long non-coding RNA (1196 nucleotides) under Equus asinus (donkey). RNAcentral describes it as "lncRNA (ENSEASG00005029586.1)". The record is from RNAcentral. Lineage: Eukaryota; Metazoa; Chordata; Mammalia; Perissodactyla; Equidae.
GUGAAUUUCUGUGGUUUAAGCAAGUCAGUCUGUGGCACUUUGUUCUGGCAGCCUUAGCAAACUAGUACUGUCUCUGGUGCUCUAGUUUCAGACACCAUCUUAGCCUGGAGGAGGAGCUGUGAUUGGACACGGGGCCUUUCCAGAUCUGUUCCCGUCACACCCAGAGCACAGCCUGGUUUGGCAGAGACUCAACCAGCCCCGGGCCUAGGACGUCUCUCGCUCGUGCACCAUUUUGUUUCUUUCUUCAGGGUGUCAUUCAAGUCCUUCUGCUCAGGAAUGAGUCUCACGACAGACAACGUGUUGGGGAUGCUCCAGACUCGCCCAGAUGCCUUCGUUUCGGGGCGCUGUGGGAUGUGCUGAGAAGAAAGCCUGGAGGAGAGUGGGAAACUACAGAAGGAUUUAAGCCGGCUGAUGACUACCUGGUCACCCCGAUGGUUGGGCGGAUGAUGAAUUAACUGUCGAGCAGGACUUGGAAGGCCGCUGUCGUGGUAACUCAGAUACCCAAUUGAUAGCAAGCUUGGCCAUAGGACUCGCUUUAGCCAAUGAAACGUGAAGACGAGUGAUGCGCAUCUCUUCUGAGCCGAAGCUUCAAGAGCCGGCUCGUGGCCGCCACGUCUCUUCUCCCUUCGCCAGAGACCGGCAGUGUUUCGGAGGCUGCCCCAUGAGCGAAGAGCCUGGGUCCAUGAAAGAAGACGUGGAGCAGAGCCCAGCCUGCCCACGUCGGCCACGGGGCAAAGUUGAUGGCGUCCUUCUAAUAGAAUGUGACUUCCAUGCUGCAAGAAUCUGGGCUGAGUUGUUAGUCAUUCUACCCUGAAGCCAAGCCCGGGGCCCGACUAUCUGUGAGAAGAACGAAUGAAGGAAACUUAUGGAUCCGUCCUGUUCAUCAUGAUCUCUUCCAUUAGCAGAGGGUGCCUCUCAGAAGUCUGUAAACCGAGUUCCUUGAAUCUGUUCUAUCGUGUCACCUCUGAAUCUUUGCACGUGCAAUCCAUUUUACUCAGAAGAAAACGCUUCGUCACCGCCUCCUUUUUUCCGCUUAAUGGUAAAAUUCAGGCUCUAUAGUAGUCCACGAAGAGAGCGCUUUGCAGGAACGUGAUGACCCCCAAACAGAGAGUCUAUGCUCACAGCCAUCAUCAAGGACAAUGGAGAGAUCUGGUGUGGCAGCUCCCAGUCUUAACUCCAGAGGGUCAACAUUCCUA